AUUGAACGCUGGCGGCAAGCCUAACACAUGCAAGUCGAACGAGUGGCGGACGGGUGAGUAAUGUCUGGGAAACUGCCUGGUGGAGGGGGAUAACUACUGGAAACGGUAGCCAAUACCGUAUUCCAGCGGAUGUGCCCAGAUGGGAUUAGCUAGUAGGUGGGGCAAAGGCUCACCUAGGCGACGAUCCCUAGCUGGUCUGAGAGGAUGACCAGCCACACUGGAACUGAGACACGGUCCAGACGCCUACGGGAGGCAGCAGUGGGGAAUAUUGGACAAUGGGCGAAAGCCUGAUGCAGCCAUGCCGCGUGUGUGAAGAAGGCCUUCGGGUUGUAAAGUACGUUCAGCGGGGAGGCGUUACCCGCAGAAGAAGCACCGGCUAACUCCGUGCCAGCCGCCGCGGUAAUAC
This 406-nucleotide ribosomal RNA is filed under the name uncultured bacterium. RNAcentral's name for it is "partial 16S ribosomal RNA". It matches the Rfam family "Bacterial small subunit ribosomal RNA", at positions 29 to 526 of the family's 1533-position model. The record is from RNAcentral.